ACAAAGUAUACCAUCUGUACCAUAUAAUAAUCAUAUAAUAUGAGAAUCAUUUGAAGAGAAUUAUCAAUAACACACAAUCUUUUUAACAUACUCCACAACACAUUUUUUACAACUUAAUCAUUUUUCUAAAAUGUUAUUCAAUUUUUAUCNNNNNNNNNNNNNNNNNNNNNNNNNNNNNNNNAGUUUACAAACUAUAUGUUGCUUUUCCGAAAAAAUAAAGGACUAGCUAAUUUUUCGAUAAGUAAAUUUAUUGUUAAGUAAUUAGAGUAUUGUUUUGGCCAAAGGCCCAAUUCGCCCGCUGCCUCGGUUCCUCUUUGUUCCACAAUGGUGUGUAACCGCCAAACGACACAUAACGCCCCCUAACAUGACAUUUUCAACAUUUUACACCGUCUUCUAAGUAGUGAAGAUGUAAAAUCUUGAAAAUUUCAUAUAUAAGGGGUGUCAGCUAGUCAAGUAGCGAAAGAAAUUCUUGAGUCUUCCAUCUUUCUCGGUUCCUCUUUGUCCCACAAUGGCUCGUAAUUGCCAAACGACUCAUAACGCCUCCAACGACCAUCUAAUCUCGACAUCGAUGGGCGGCACUUUCUGGUCAAUAUCCGACAACUCCUUUUCAGUGUCUAUAUAAACAACUCUUCACAACAACAUAAAGUACAAUAUCCUAUCCUUCAACCUCUCACUCUUGAUUUGAUUCUGACUAGCUUGAGCUUUGUAGUCUUUGCAAGUAUACCCCCCAUCAUUUGACGGAAGUUAUUCGAGUUCGGCAUACCUUCUCGAUCACCUCAGAUCAAGUUCGGUAUACUCCCAUCAUUUAGAAGUGUUUCAAAAGCAUAGUAGUAUUUAUCUAAUUUGAGAGUAAAUUAUAAAACCAAAGUAAGGAAUGAAAGAAACACAAUAAAAAUUUAUUGUUCAAAACGAGAAUGAUUUAAAAUUUACAAUGGAAUAUGAUAAAAAAAAAUUGAUGGUUCAUAAAAAAAGUAGAUGGUUUAACAAACCAAUUAGACUUACAAUAUUGAGAUGCUUCUUGGUAUUUUUUCUGAGUACCCCAAUGUUGUUAAGUGCAAGGAUAGCCCCAAUAACAGCAAUGAUCAAAGUGUUCAUAACUGGAGCUAAUGCAACUAAGAAAAGCUUCAAGAAGUUCAUAUUGUGAUUUAUUUAUUUUUUUGUACCACUCCAAAUAAAGUUGUAAUAUUCCUAAUAUAUGAAACAAUUUCAGAUAAUUAUGAUUGGUUUUUGUCAACAACCAAUUGGAUUCAUAACAAAAUGGCUAUAAAGUGAAGAAAUUAGCCAUUCAAUUUUUAUUAUAAGUACUUCUCAAAUUUAAAAGUACGUUCCACAAUCUUGAAGAAAAUUAAACAACAAAAAAAAUCCUAGUUUUGAGCAUACACGCUUACUAUUAUAACUAUAUUUAUCAUUUAGAAUCAUCUAAAGCCAAUUUUGUGAAAAUAAGAAAAUAAUAUUGUGCUGGCUAUUCAAUUACAUGAACCAUACAUAUACUUCUAUAAUUAAUUAACAGAAUAAAUGAAAGCAUACAUAUGUAUAACCUUAUUGGAUAAAUGAUGUCAACCCAUCCUUUUCUCUUUUUAUUUAAGUUGUUAUAGGUAGCAACUUUAGAAGUGUAGUCUAGGACAAAAUAAUAACUUGUCUAAAGUUUAGAUUCAAGCGACACAAAA
Molecule: long non-coding RNA, 1667 nt
Filed under: Trifolium pratense (red clover)
Lineage: Eukaryota; Viridiplantae; Streptophyta; Magnoliopsida; Fabales; Fabaceae
Description: long non-coding RNA (TPRA_LNC004618)
Source: RNAcentral